GGCCGAUGACGACGGCACCGUUCCGAACCGAACUAGGCACUCGGUGAUGCGGAGCCCUAUGAGUGCCGAGGCC
Haloferax mediterranei ATCC 33500 is the source of this 73-nucleotide non-coding RNA. The record is from Rfam. Lineage: Archaea; Methanobacteriati; Methanobacteriota; Halobacteria; Halobacteriales; Haloferacaceae.